CUUGCUGGAGUACUCGAGUGGCGAACGGGUGAGUAACACGUGGGUAAUCUGCCCUGCACUCUGGGAUAAGCCUGGGAAACUGGGUCUAAUACUGGAUAUGACCUUUCUCCUUAUGGGGUUUGGUGGAAAGUUUUUCGGUGUAGGAUGAGCCCGCGGCCUAUCAGCUUGUUGGUGGGGUGAUGGCCUACCAAGGCGACGACGGGUAGCCGGCCUGAGAGGGUGAUCGGCCACAUUGGGACUGAGAUACGGCCCAGACUCCUACGGGAGGCAGCCGUGGGGAAUAUUGCACAAUGGGCGGAAGCCUGAUGCAGCGACGCCGCGUGAGGGAUGACGGCCUUCGGGUUGUAAACCUCUUUCAGCAGGGACGAAGCGUAAGUGACGGUACCUGCAGAAGAAGCACCGGCUAACUA
RNAcentral lists this ribosomal RNA (410 nucleotides) under uncultured Actinomycetales bacterium. Its description in RNAcentral is "bacterial SSU rRNA". It matches the Rfam family "Bacterial small subunit ribosomal RNA", at positions 76 to 503 of the family's 1533-position model. The record is from RNAcentral. Lineage: Bacteria; Bacillati; Actinomycetota; Actinomycetes; Actinomycetales.